Molecule: small RNA, 596 nt
Filed under: Pongo abelii (Sumatran orangutan)
Lineage: Eukaryota; Metazoa; Chordata; Mammalia; Primates; Hominidae
Description: retained intron
Source: RNAcentral
AAUUUGUGGAUGAGACAAUAAGGGAUUCAGGAUUAUGAUAGGCAGUGGACGAUUUUUGGGGGCUUGUCACGUCUCCAUUGUACCUUGGACCUGAUGUGGCAAGACUUGAUAUUCAUUUUUUUUUUUUAUUUUAGGCAUCAGUGGGUGGACCAGAACGUUGUCAUGACAGUUGGUUUCCUGGCAGUAACUUAGUGUCAAACAUGCGACACUUUAUAAACUAUGUUAGAGUAAGAGUUCCAGAGACUGCUCCUGAAGUAAAGAGAGACUCACCUGCAAGUACUAGCUCUGAUAACUUGGGUUCUUUACAAAAUUCUGGUACAGCUCAAGUUUUCAGUUUAGUAGCAGAACGUAGAAAGAAAUUUCAGGAAAUCAUCAAUCGCAGUAGCAGUGAAGCAAAUCAGGUGGUUCGUCCCAAAACUUCAAGUAAAUGGUCUGCUCCUGGUUCAGCUCCACAGUUAACUACAGCCAUUUUGGAAAUUAAAGAAAGCAUAUUGUCUUUGCUAAUUAAACUUCACCACAAACUCUCAGGAAAACAAAACUCCUACUAUCCCCCUUGGCUUGAUGACAUAGAAAUUUUAAUCCAACCAGAAAUUCCU